This 407-nucleotide ribosomal RNA is filed under the name uncultured prokaryote. Its description in RNAcentral is "bacterial SSU rRNA". It matches the Rfam family "Bacterial small subunit ribosomal RNA", at positions 355 to 776 of the family's 1533-position model. RNAcentral also lists the same sequence under 1 other name. The record is from RNAcentral.
UGGGGAAUAUUGGGCAAUGGGCGCAAGCCUGACCCAGCAACGCCGCGUGAAGGAAGAAGGUUUUCGGAUUGUAAACUUCUGUCCUAAGUGACGAACACAAUGACGGUAGCUUAGGAGGAAGCCCCGGCUAACUACGUGCCAGCAGCCGCGGUAAUACGUAGGGGGCAAGCGUUGUCCGGAAUGACUGGGCGUAAAGGGCGUGUAGGCGGCUUUUUAAGUGUGAAGUGAAAGUCCUGCUUUCAAGGUGGGAACUGCUUUGCAAACUGGAGAGCUUGAGUGCGGAAGAGGUAAGUGGAAUUCCCAGUGUAGCGGUGAAAUGCGUAGAGAUUGGGAGGAACACCAGUGGCGAAGGCGACUUACUGGGCCGUAACUGACGCUGAGGCGCGAAAGCGUGGGGAGCGAACAGG